Molecule: ribosomal RNA, 631 nt
Filed under: uncultured bacterium
Lineage: Bacteria
Description: bacterial SSU rRNA
Rfam family: Bacterial small subunit ribosomal RNA (bases 1-540)
Source: RNAcentral
CCUACGGGAGGCAGCAGUGGGGAAUUUUGGACAAUGGGGGCAACCCUGAUCCAGCAAUGCCGCGUGAGUGAAGAAGGCCUUCGGGUUGUAAAGCUCUUUUGUCAGGGAAGAAACGGCGGGGGCUAAUAUCCCUUGCUAAUGACGGUACCUGAAGAAUAAGCACCGGCUAACUACGUGCCAGCAGCCGCGGUAAUACGUAGGGUGCAAGCGUUAAUCGGAAUUACUGGGCGUAAAGCGUGCGCAGGCGGUUGUGCAAGACCGAUGUGAAAUCCCCGGGCUUAACCUGGGAAUGGCAUUGGUGACUGCACGGCUAGAGUGUGUCAGAGGGGGGUAGAAUUCCACGUGUAGCAGUGAAAUGCGUAGAGAUGUGGAGGAAUACCGAUGGCGAAGGCAGCCCCCUGGGAUAACACUGACGCUCAUGCACGAAAGCGUGGGGAGCAAACAGGAUUAGAUACCCUGGUAGUCCACGCCCUAAACGAUGUCAACUAGUUGUCGGGUCUUAAUUGAUUAGUACGACAGCUACGCGUGAGUAGUACCGCCGUGGGAGGUACGGUCGGUCGAGAAGUUAAACGUAACGAAAGGAAGUUAGACGGCGUUGAGACGNGCCGACGGACGACGACGAGGGAGGAGG